Monodelphis domestica (gray short-tailed opossum) is the source of this 1096-nucleotide long non-coding RNA. RefSeq lists it as uncharacterized. The record is from RefSeq and is a predicted model, not a curated record. Lineage: Eukaryota; Metazoa; Chordata; Mammalia; Didelphimorphia; Didelphidae.
UUGAGGGGAACUGAUGUGAAUCUUAAAAACUGCUCAGACUGUACCUUAGAAGAUUUGGUUAAGGUUACACUGACAAAUAUCUCUCUCAAACUGGGAUUCAGACAGGGAGGCUGUGUGUCAAAGAGUCUCUCUGAAGAAAGCAUCUUUGAAGCUGCCUGACCUGGAUUAUCCUCAAGAAAAGCUCAAUCUUUGACAACUAGCUCUACCUUAACCCCCAACCCCAAGCUUCCUGGAAGAUGAUCCAUCCUUCCUUAUAUCUAGCGAAAUGGUGACCUCUUUGUGCUCAUCUGUGAAAACCUAGUCAUGAGCUUAUAUGGAUACUUCCUAGAGUAAACCUUUCAUGGGGAAUAAAGACCAAGGGGAACAUGACUUUUUUGUAUUAGUCUCUGAGAUCUGACUCAAGUCUGUGUGACUCCAGAGCUUGGAGUGGCAAAGAAUGGGAAACUACAGGGAUGUCCCUCAACUGGGGAAUGGCUGAUCAAAUUGUUGCAUACGAUGGCGAUGGAAUACUAUUGUGUUGCAAGGAAUGAUAAAUGGGAUGAUUUCAGAAAAAGCUGGCAAGACCUCUAGGAACUGAUGCACAGCAAAAUAAGCAGAACCAGAAGGACACUGUACACAGUAACUGCAAUAUUGUGGAAUGAUCAAAUGUGACAACCUUUGCUACUCACAGCAAUACAAUGAUCCAGAACAAUUUGGAAGGACUUAUGAAAAGGAGUGCUAUUCAGCUCCAGAGAAAGAACUGUUGGAGUAGAAAUGCAGAUGAAAACAUAUAAUUAUUACUUGUUUUUUUGGGUAUGUUUGGAAUUUUGGUUCUAUAAAAUUAUUCACUUACAAAAAUGAAUGAUAUGGAAAUCUGUUUUGUGUGAUAAUACUUGUAUAACCCCCCAAAAAAUUAAAAUAAAAAAUUUGUUGGUCUAUGGUGCUAAGUAUAUUUAAAAGCUUUUCUGUACCCCUAUUCCCAUGCUAGUGUGCUCAUUACCAAACUACCUUGUAUUUAACUUCUUUGAUUGUUCGCUUUAUAUUUAUACUAUCUAUAUACAUACAUAUUAUGUUAUAUACUCACACAUGUACUUGUUGCCUCCUCCAUUCAAAUAAA